GACGAACGCUGGCGGCGUGCUUAACACAUGCAAGUCGAGCGGUAAGGCCCUUUCGGGGGUACGACGAGCGGCGAACGGGUGAGUAACACGUGGGUGACCUGCCUUUAGCUCUGGGAUAAGCCUGGGAAACUGGGUCUAAUACCGGAUAUGACCCUAUGGCGCAUGUUGUGGGGUGGAAAGCCUUGUGCGGCUAGGGAUGGGCCCGCGGCCUAUCAGCUUGUUGGUGGGGUGAUGGCCUACCAAGGCGACGACGGGUAGCCGGCCUGAGAGGGCGACCGGCCACACUGGGACUGAGACACGGCCCAGACUCCUACGGGAGGGCAGCAGUGGGGAAUCUUGCGCAAUGGGCGAAAGCCUGACGCAGCGACGCCGCGUGAGGGAUGACGGCCU
This 390-nucleotide ribosomal RNA is filed under the name uncultured bacterium. RNAcentral's name for it is "bacterial SSU rRNA". It matches the Rfam family "Bacterial small subunit ribosomal RNA", at positions 28 to 417 of the family's 1533-position model. The record is from RNAcentral.